CGGCCGCAGCGCCGUUAUGUUCCGCGCAUGCACACAUCGGUAGCUGUCAGCUGGUGGUUGUUAUAGUAACAGGCGUCCGGAGUUGAGCGCCGGUGUGGUUAUGAAGCUAACAGUUAAUAAUCACACCCAACCUUAAGAUCACAAACAGAUGAGUUAAGUAGAUUGGAGAUGAGCGCUGUCACCCACACAUUGUGCUAACACACACACACACACACACACACACACACACACACACACACACACACACACACAGAGAUGCCAGCCGUGAGAGAACAUAAGGACGAAUCCGAGUCAUCGUCCGAAGAUGAGCCGGAGAAACUUCCGUGCAUUGCCUGGAGUGGCGUCAGCAAGAGGAUUCCCGUGCUGCUCUUCUGUGCAGAAGCCAUUGUGUCCAAAGAUGUGGCCAUCCGCUCUGUUGGAGAAAAAUAUAACUUGGCCUUCAAGAUUGUGCGUACGGAGAGCCGUCUUGUUCGUGGCAUACUGGUCAAUCACGGAUUCCACGAGGUGCACCCAAAUAGCAAUGACUUUAACCUGAUGUGGACCGGCUCACACCUGAAGCCAUAUCUUCUGCGCUCUCUGCAGGAUUUCCAGAAAGUCAACCACUUUCCCAGGUCGUUCGAGCUCACUCGGAAAGACCGGCUAUACAAAAACAUCCAGAGGAAGCAGCAAACCCAUGGAUUUCAUAACUUCCACAUCGUACCCCAGACCUUUGUGCUUCCUGCCGAGUACCAGGAAUUUAGCAGCUCCUUCAGCAAAGACAAAGGCGCGUGGAUCAUCAAACCGGUGGCGUCCUCCAGGGGCAGAGGCAUCUACCUGGUCAGCAGUCCGAGUCAGAUCCCACUGGACGAGAAUAUUCUGGUGUCUCGCUACAUCAGCAAUCCUCUACUGAUCGACGAUUUUAAGUUUGACGUGCGUCUGUACGUGCUGGUGACCUCAUUUGACCCUCUCCUGAUCUAUCUCUAUGAGGAAGGGCUGGCCAGGUUUGCCACAGUGAAGUAUGACCAUGCCACGGCAAACAUCAAGAACCAGUUCAUGCAUCUGACCAACUACAGCGUCAACAAGAAGAGCAGUGACUACGUCAGCUGCGAUGACCCUGAAGUAGAGGAUUAUGGGAACAAAUGGAGCAUGAGCGCAAUGCUGAGAUAUUUGAGGCAAGAAGGCAAAGACACCACAUUGCUCAUGGGCCAGAUCGAGGAUCUGAUCAUUAAAGCUCUUCUGAGCGCUGAGAUCCACAUCGCCACAGCCUGCAAGAUGUUUGUCCCUCAUCGCUGCAACUGCUUCGAACUGUACGGUUUCGACGUUCUCAUUGAUUCCAACCUCAAACCAUGGCUCUUGGAAGUGAACCUCUCUCCUUCAUUGGCAUGCGAUGCUCCUCUGGAUUUAAAGAUUAAGGCCAGCAUGAUCUCUGAUAUGUUUUCUCUUGUGGGAUUUGUGUGUCAGGAUCCGUUAUUACGACAGCCGCGUCCCGACAGAGCUGGCAUUGAUUCAAGAAUGAAGAAUCCUGCGCAGAAACUUCAGCGUCAGAGACCGCCAUCCUCCAACAGUGCCGACCCAGAAGCACAGAGAGAGAAAGCCAGCGCUAAGCCAGCGGAGAGUACGCUGAGUCUGACGGCAGAAGAGAUGAAAGUGCUGAGGAGGGUACAGGAGGAGUAUGACAGGAGGGGUGGGUUUGUUCGGAUCUUUCCUACUCCAGACACCUGGGAACUUUACAGUGGUUAUCUGGAAUACAAGACCUCUAUGAACGCCAUGUUGGCUAAUAAACUUUUCCAUGGAAGGACCAGGGUGAAUGAUAAUAUAUCUCUGGUUGUGGGGACCUUCUGCACGCACCAUGUGGUCCAAUAUGAAAGGAAGCUUCUUAGUCUGGAGACACGCAAGCAGAGGCGCAAACCCAGACGAGCCUUUGCCAGAAAAAAACGAGCAGGUCUGAAAGCUUCUCAGUCCCCUCACAUGAGUGAGAAUGAGGACGGGGUAGAGCGAGAGAUAGAGCUGAAAUCACCUCACCUCCACACAGACACUGCUCUGGAACAAACUUCACAACCCAAAGUCAACCUGCUCCAGAUUCUCCAACAAGGAUGGGACCUCAGUAAAGUUCAAGCACGCAUGGCCUUCUCCUCUUACCUGCACCGUGUCCAGCUGCGCCUGCUGGCUGAGAGCAGAGCCAACAUGGGCCCGGCCUGGACACAGAAGGAGCAUGAUCAGAUGGAGCUGGUGGUUCGCUUUCUGAGGAGAGCCAGCAGUAACCUGCGUCAGGACAUGUGUCUGGAGGAACCCAGCCGUCUGCUGUGUCUGUCAGACCGCCAGCGCAUCCUCUCCCAUCAGCUCGGGAACUUCAUACAGCUCUAUAACCAGGAAACCAAGCAAAUGGUGGAGAGUUUUGACCAGAUUCCAGAUGAGGAUCGCUGCAUCAACUCCAAUGUUUUCCAGGAGUUUAUUCUGGAGGCGAGUGAAAGUGACUUGGAGGAAGUCCUUACAUUCUACACGCAGAAGAAUAAGUCUGCCAGUGUGUUUCUGGGCACAAAGUGUGACAGCAGCGGAGUCAAGAGGAACAGCGAUGACAACAGAGGGACAGCUGCGUGCAUCAACACGGACGCCUCUGAUGGUUUAGAGAACGCAGAGAUCCAACACAAAGACGGUACUGCAGCUCAAACCGGAAACCAGGGCCAAAGUAAAUUAACCCAAAGCACAGAAAGCUGUAGUGCAACUAAACAUGGUAACAAAACCAAAUGCAACUCAUUGCAAAAUGGACACAUCCAAAGGAAAAGCCAAAGUGGAGACUGCGCCGUUAUUGAAGUGCUACCCAAUCCUUCGGCUGCUGCAGAGACUGAAUCAAGAGAUAUACCAAACAAGACUCCCACUUCUGCUGUCAGAAACAAGAGAGCUCUGUGUAAAUCAGGCAGUGAUCAUCCGAACGCUGCAGCUCUGGAGUGUGAACACAUCGUCUUACAGCACUGCCUCCCGCCGCCGUACGUCCAGCCGCCGCCACAUCCACUGGCCAGCAGCUCGUCUGUGUGUGUCACAUGGGCCUCCGCACGCAGCCAAUCGACUGCACCAACAGCUGCCCAAGAAACACCUCGACUGAUCCAUUCUACCGGUGUCCUACCCAGAGCCGUCCAGAGAUCAGCACGGCCCUCCUCUGCAGGACACGUCAGUCAGAAGCCCAGUCUGAAUAAGUCCAGACCUGGAUCUGCUGGUUUGCUGAAAGAGACGGACUCUCUGUCGGCCCAGGCUCAGUCCAACCAGCUGGCCAUCGUAUCUGCUCUGCGCAAACUAGUGGAGAAACAGGCGGCUCGUCAGUACAGCACGUCCAGUCACAUCAGCCUCCUUACACAACACCUGGCGAAUCUGAAUCUGGCCAAUGGGCUCUUCAGCAGAGGAGGUCUAACGUUGGGUCCUGGGGUCCGGCACACACCUUUGAGAGCGAUGCAUACACACAUGACCACUGGUGACUCUGGUCUCAGGGCUGCGUGUGAAGCUGAGUCGGUGUGUGAUGUUGAUCUGCUCAGCGCUCAGAAGCCGCCGCCGCCGGCUGCGGGAAACUACCAGCUUCAGUUCGCCAUCCAGCAGCUGCAGCAGCAGAAGCAGCGAUCCAGACAGCUGCUCGACCAGAGCCGCACACGUCACCAGGCCAUUCUGUCGUCUCACAGCCUCACACCUGCUGCUUCAUCACGACCUCAUGCUCCCAGCAGCCCCCUGACCCAGCCGCUCAGACGCACCUUCACCCACACGGGCCGCGCCAGGCUCCUCACGCUCACACCCAAACCUCCCAGCAGCGCCCCGAGAGACGGACGCCUGCGCAAGACCACCGCACACACCCUCCACAAGAAAGCAUUAUCUGAGCUUCCAGACGGUCAGAGCAGCAGCAGUGGACAGCAUGUGGUGUAUGAGACUGUGUGUGCCAAGACAGGUCUGUCAGUGUACAGUAAACUCUUCCACACUCAGGGCUCCAGGAACAGAUGAACGAGGUCAGAGGUCAGCUGCUUUGUGGGAUCACUUGACAUACUGAGAUCGAGAGACAACACGGACAUGAAGAGUUCACCUCUUCACUCUCAAUAUGCUGUCUUCUGAUAAUCAUUAUUUCCCUCCCAACCGACCUUAUGUGUCUUUUUUGAGUGUGUGAUUGUACGUGAAAUCCUUCUCUUUGAUUGGAUCUGUUCCACAGUCUGAAGGCGUCCUGCUUCUCGCUGUCUCGAAUGUGCAGUUGUCCAGCCUUCAUUAUCACCGCACAUCUGAUGCCAUGUGAAGGUUGUGCGGACUGACGGCUCACAACAGCUGUGACACGUGCAGCAACAGCAGACCCCGAGCUCACGAGAGCACCCAUCACAUUUAUCCAUGUUUACAUGUACAGAUCGAAGAUGUAGACUCCUGAGUAAAGCGCUUUCAGCACCGCUUGCUAAUGAUCUCUAACAACUUCUGUUCAAGUGCCUGGGUUCAGGUGUGAGGAACCACUGGAGCAGCUCUGAUCUGCAAACUAGAAACAUCGACGUCCAGUAGAAAAUCAGAAGACCCUUGAAAGCAGCUGUAAGAAUGCGGCCCCUCGCUGCAUCCGGAGCACAGAGGUCCCACCAAUGCUUGGCCCAUGAAAAGCAGGCUUGGAUAAAUAGGUUCUAGAGUGCUGCGAGGAGCUAAUCUAACAUCUUGAGAGUCUGUGGAGUGCACUUGAGGUAAAGCAGCUUCUGACGGGAGGCCCGAGACCAGCGGCUCCUUUACAGGAAAUACUGGAACCCCUUCAGGGCUCGGUUGGUCAGGAAACCCCCACGGAAAAUACAGCACCUAUAGAACAUAUACUCGCCGAAUGAAUCUGUUAUAUAACGGCUCUCAGGCCUGCGAGCCACAGGGUUUAUAUUGCGGUUUGAGGCAUCGGCGUGUGAAAGUAAAGCUCUGAGUUUCUCAGAAUGCUUCUUUUGUUCGCUUGCAAUUGUGCAAAUGUUCUUCUGUAUAAUCCAUCAGCACCUGGAAUACAGAUCAGGCCUGGAAAAGACUGGUGCUCCGUCUCACUUCAGUACAGUGCCAUCAUCUGAGUUUGUUCUGUGUGUGGAAACUCUAGUAUUUGGCUUAGAUGUGAAGGAUGUGUUGCACGGUGUAUUGGCGCUGUAUUUAAAAACCUGCAAAAAAUGACAAAGGCUGUGUCUGCAUGAACUAAAGCAUCGCCUUUAACGGAAAUGUAGAAAACUGAUGUGUAAAAGUCUAUUAAGAUUUGGUUAAUUGUUAA
This is an RNA transcript of Carassius carassius (crucian carp), 5209 nucleotides long. It is a transcript of the gene named tubulin tyrosine ligase-like family, member 5, with no coding region annotated. The transcript is spliced from 32 exons. Lineage: Eukaryota; Metazoa; Chordata; Actinopteri; Cypriniformes; Cyprinidae. The record is from RefSeq and is a predicted model, not a curated record.